RNAcentral lists this ribosomal RNA (468 nucleotides) under uncultured bacterium. Its description in RNAcentral is "partial 16S ribosomal RNA". It matches the Rfam family "Bacterial small subunit ribosomal RNA", at positions 28 to 507 of the family's 1533-position model. The record is from RNAcentral.
GACGAACGCUGGCGGCGUGCUUAACACAUGCAAGUCGAACGGAAAGGCCCUGCUUUUGUGGGGGGCUCGAGUGGCGAACGGGUGAGUAACACGUGAGUAACCUGCCCUUGACUUUGGGAUAACUUCAGGAAACUGGGGCUAAUACCGGAUAGGAGCUCCCGCUGCAUGGUGGGGGUUGGAAAGGUUCGGCGGUUGGGGAUGGACUCGCGGCUUAUCAGCUUGUUGGUGGGGUAGUGGCUUACCAAGGCUUUGACGGGUAGCCGGCCUGAGAGGGUGACCGGCCACAUUGGGACUGAGAGACGGCGCAGACUCCUACGGGAGGCAGCAGUGGGGAAUAUUGCACAAUGGGCGGAAGCCUGAUGCAGCAACGCCGCGUGCGGGAUGACGGCCUUCGGGUGGUAAACCGCUUUCGCCUGUGACGAAGCGUGAGUGACGGUAAUGGGUAAAGAAGCACCGGCUAACUACGUG